This 68-nucleotide transfer RNA is filed under the name Marmota monax (woodchuck). RNAcentral's name for it is "tRNA.Ala". The record is from RNAcentral. Lineage: Eukaryota; Metazoa; Chordata; Mammalia; Rodentia; Sciuridae.
GGAUUGUGGCUCAGUGGCAGAGUGCUUGUCUUGCACGUGUGAGGCAAUGGGUUCAAUCCUCAGCACCA